RNAcentral lists this ribosomal RNA (389 nucleotides) under Ochromonas tuberculata. RNAcentral describes it as "partial small subunit ribosomal RNA". It matches the Rfam family "Eukaryotic small subunit ribosomal RNA", at positions 30 to 432 of the family's 1831-position model. Lineage: Eukaryota; Chrysophyceae; Chromulinales; Chromulinaceae. The record is from RNAcentral.
GCUUGUCUCAAAGAUUAAGCCAUGCAUGUCUCAGUAUAAGUUCCUGUACGGCGAAACUGCGAAUGGCUCAUUAAAACAGUUACAGUUUAUUUGAUGGUCCUUGCUACUUGGAUAACCGUAGUAAUUCUAGAGCUAAUACAUGCAUCAAGCCCCGACUGUUUGGAAGGGGUGUAUAUAUUAGAUUGAAACCAAUGCGGGGCAACCCGGAGUGUGGUGAUUCAUAAUAUCUUUCGGAUCGAUUUAUCGAUGCAUCAUUCAAGUUUCUGCCCUAUCAGCUUUGGAUGGUAGGGUAUUGGCCUACCAUGGCUUUAACGGGUAACGGAGAAUUAGGGUUCGAUUCCGGAGAGGGAGCCUGAGAAAUGGCUACCACAUCCAAGGAAGGCAGCAGG